Phodopus roborovskii (desert hamster) is the source of this 102-nucleotide small nucleolar RNA. RefSeq annotates it as small nucleolar RNA U13. The transcript has a single exon. NCBI's taxonomy places the organism in Eukaryota, Metazoa, Chordata, Mammalia, Rodentia, Cricetidae. The record is from RefSeq and is a predicted model, not a curated record.
AUCAUUUUGGUUCAUAAACUUGAUGAUACUGCAUUCACACCAUUGCAUGAGAUGCCCCUCUUUUAAAUCUCUUUACAGAAUCUAUAUAUUACUCAUCUGAUA